CCUACGGGGCGCAGCAGUGGGGAAUAUUGGGCAAUGGACGCAAGUCUGACCCAGCAACGCCGCGUGAAGGAAGAAGGCUUUCGGGUUGUAAACUUCUUUUAAGGGGGAAGAGCAGAAGACGGUACCCCUUGAAUAAGCCACGGCUAACUACGUGCCAGCAGCCGCGGUAAUACGUAGGGGGCAAGCGUUAUCCGGAUUUACUGGGUGUAAAGGGAGCGUAGACGGUUCUGCAAGCCAGAUGUGAAAGCCCGGGGCUCAACCCCGGGACUGCAUUUGGAACUGUAAGGCUAGAGUGUCGGAGAGGG
RNAcentral lists this ribosomal RNA (305 nucleotides) under uncultured bacterium. RNAcentral describes it as "bacterial SSU rRNA". It matches the Rfam family "Bacterial small subunit ribosomal RNA", at positions 338 to 658 of the family's 1533-position model. The record is from RNAcentral.